RNAcentral lists this ribosomal RNA (459 nucleotides) under uncultured bacterium. RNAcentral's name for it is "partial 16S ribosomal RNA". It matches the Rfam family "Bacterial small subunit ribosomal RNA", at positions 339 to 795 of the family's 1533-position model. The record is from RNAcentral.
CUACGGGGGGCUGCAGUAAGGAAUAUUGCGCAAUGGAGGCAACUCUGACGCAGCCAUGCCGCGUGCAGGAAGAAGGCCUUAUGGGUCGUAAACUGCUUUUAUUUAGGAAUAAACCCCCGAACGUGUUCGGGGCUGAAGGUACUAAACGAAUAAGCACCGGCUAACUCCGUGCCAGCAGCCGCGGUAAUACGGAGGGUGCAGGCGUUAUCCGGAUUUAUUGGGUUUAAAGGGUGCGCAGGCGGGCUAUUAAGUCAGUGGUGAAAUCCCGGGGCUCAACUCCGGAACUGCCAUUGAUACUGAUAGUCUUGAGUUUGGUUGAAGUGGGCGGAAUGUAGCAUGUAGCGGUGAAAUGCAUAGAUAUGCUACAGAACACCAAUCGCGAAGGCAGCUCACUAAGCCAAAACUGACGCUCAUGCACGAAAGCGUGGGGAUCAAACAGGAUUAGAUACCCGCGUAGUC